This 417-nucleotide ribosomal RNA is filed under the name uncultured bacterium. Its description in RNAcentral is "bacterial SSU rRNA". It matches the Rfam family "Bacterial small subunit ribosomal RNA", at positions 355 to 764 of the family's 1533-position model. The record is from RNAcentral.
UAGGGAAUAUUGGACAAUGGGCGCAAGCCUGAUCCAGCCAUGCCGCGUGAGUGAAGAAGGCCCUCGGGUUGUAAAGCUCUUUUGUCCGGAAAGAAAAGCAUUGGGUUAAUACCCCGGUGUUCUGACGGUACCGGAAGAAUAAGCACCGGCUAACUUCGUGCCAGCAGCCGUGGUAAUACGAAGGGUGCAAGCGUUACUCGGAAUUACUGGGCGUAAAGCGUGCGUAGGUGGUUCGUUAAGUCUGAUGUGAAAGCCCUGGGCUCAACCUGGGAAUGGCAUUGGAAACUGGCGGACUGGAGUGCGGUAGAGGGUAGCGGAAUUCCCGGUGUAGCAGUGAAAUGCGUAGAGAUCGGGAGGAACAUCCGUGGCGAAGGCGGCUACCUGGACCAGCACUGACACUGAGGCACGAAAGCGUGG